This 80-nucleotide small nucleolar RNA is filed under the name Monodelphis domestica (gray short-tailed opossum). RNAcentral's name for it is "Small nucleolar RNA SNORD111 (ENSMODG00000026355.1)". It matches the Rfam family "Small nucleolar RNA SNORD111". From Rfam's summary of the family: The members of this family belong to the C/D class of snoRNAs which contain the C (UGAUGA) and D (CUGA) box motifs. The record is from Rfam by way of RNAcentral. Lineage: Eukaryota; Metazoa; Chordata; Mammalia; Didelphimorphia; Didelphidae.
CAGCCUGAAAUGAUGAUUCACAUUCAUGUCUCUUCUCUGAGAUUUCUUCUGGAGAAAAUAUGGUGUAACUGAUCAGGCUU